RNAcentral lists this ribosomal RNA (198 nucleotides) under uncultured bacterium. RNAcentral's name for it is "partial 16S ribosomal RNA". It matches the Rfam family "Bacterial small subunit ribosomal RNA", at positions 159 to 353 of the family's 1533-position model. The record is from RNAcentral.
AAGAUUAAUACCGCAUAAGAUUGUAGUAUCGCAUGAUAUAGCAAUUAAAGGAGCAAUCCGCUAUAAGAUGGACCCGCGUCGCAUUAGCUAGUUGGUGAGGUAAUGGCUCACCAAGGNGACGAUGCGUAGCCGACCUGAGAGGGUGAUCGGCCACAUUGGGACUGAGACACGGCCCAGACUCCUACGGGAGGCAGCAUG